CCUACGGGAGGCAGCAGUAGGGAAUCUUCGGCAAUGGGCGAAAGCCUGACCGAGCAACGCCGCGUGAGCGAUGAAGGCCUUCGGGUCGUAAAGCUCUGUUGUUAGAGAAGAACAAGUACGAGAGUAACUGCUCGUACCUUGACGGUACCUAACCAGAAAGCCACGGCUAACUACGUGCCAGCAGCCGCGGUAAUACGUAGGUGGCAAGCGUUAUCCGGAAUUAUUGGGCGUAAAGCGCGCGCAGGCGGUCUCUUAAGUCUGAUGUGAAAGCCCACGGCUCAACCGUGGAGGGUCAUUGGAAACUGGGAGACUUGAGUGCAGGAGAGAAAAGUGGAAUUCCACGUGUAGCGGUGAAAUGCGUAGAGAUGUGGAGGAACACCAGUGGCGAAGGCGGCUUUUUGGCCUGUAACUGACGCUGAGGCGCGAAAGCGUGGGGAGCAAACAGGAUUAGAUACCCUGGUAGUCCACGCCGUAAACGAUGAGUGCUAGGUGUUGGGGGGUUCCACCCUCAGUGCUGAAGUUAACACAUUAAGCACUCCGCCUGGGGAGUACGACCGCAAGGUUGAAACUUCAAAGUUAGUUAGUAGGCGNGNGAGNGCGACGAGCACAGGAGGAG
Molecule: ribosomal RNA, 616 nt
Filed under: uncultured bacterium
Lineage: Bacteria
Description: bacterial SSU rRNA
Rfam family: Bacterial small subunit ribosomal RNA
Source: RNAcentral